This 68-nucleotide transfer RNA is filed under the name uncultured Treponema sp. It matches the Rfam family "tRNA". From Rfam's summary of the family: Transfer RNA (tRNA) molecules are approximately 80 nucleotides in length. Their secondary structure includes four short double-helical elements and three loops (D, anti-codon, and T loops). Further hydrogen bonds mediate the characteristic L-shaped molecular structure. tRNAs have two regions of fundamental functional importance: the anti-codon, which is responsible for specific mRNA codon recognition, and the 3' end, to which the tRNAs corresponding amino acid is attached (by aminoacyl-tRNA synthetases). tRNAs cope with the degeneracy of the genetic code in two manners: having more than one tRNA (with a specific anti-codon) for a particular amino acid; and 'wobble' base-pairing, i.e. permitting non-standard base-pairing at the 3rd anti-codon position. Lineage: Bacteria; Pseudomonadati; Spirochaetota; Spirochaetia; Treponematales; Treponemataceae. The record is from RNAcentral.
GGAUGUAGCGCAGCUGGUAGCGCGUCUGCUUUGGGAGCAGAAUGUCGCAGGUUCAAAUCCUGUCAUCC